This 439-nucleotide ribosomal RNA is filed under the name uncultured bacterium. RNAcentral describes it as "partial 16S ribosomal RNA". It matches the Rfam family "Bacterial small subunit ribosomal RNA", at positions 339 to 795 of the family's 1533-position model. The record is from RNAcentral.
CUAAGGGAUGCUCCAGUGGGGAAUAUUGCACAAUGGGGGAAACCCUGAUGCAGCAACGCCGCGUGGAGGAUGACACAUUUCGGUGCGUAAACUCCUUUUAUAUAGGAAGAUAAUGACGGUACUAUAUGAAUAAGCGCCGGCUAACUCCGUGCCAGCAGCCGCGGUAAUACGGAGGGCGCAAGCGUUACUCGGAAUCACUGGGCGUAAAGGGCGUGUAGGCGGGUAGUUAAGUCAGAAGUGAAAUCCUAUGGCUCAACCAUAGAACUGCUUUUGAAACUGAUUACCUAGAAUAUGGGAGAGGUAGAUGGAAUUUCUGGUGUAGGGGUAAAAUCCGUAGAGAUCAGAAGGAAUACCGAUUGCGAAGGCGAUCUACUGGAACAUUAUUGACGCUGAGACGCGAAAGCGUGGGGAGCAAACAGGAUUAGAUACCCCAGUAGUC